RNAcentral lists this ribosomal RNA (109 nucleotides) under Scophthalmus maximus (turbot). The record is from RNAcentral. Lineage: Eukaryota; Metazoa; Chordata; Actinopteri; Pleuronectiformes; Scophthalmidae.
GCUUACGGCCACACCGCCUGGUAUACGCUUGAUCUCUGAAGAUAAGAUAGGUUGGGCCUGGUUAGUACUUGGAUGGGAGACCGCCUGGGAAUACCAGGUGCUGUAAGCU